CAUUGUUGCCUGGAUACCUACAUGGGGAAGCAGAUAUGGGUACCCAGUUCCUAUCCUGCAUGCCCCUUAGAGCGGAACAAUAACAACACUAAACUAGAAACACAAACUAAAAUUAUCCUUCCAGAGCAAGGUAUGCAGAAAAGAUGUGAGGCUGCUGUACACAGGGACAAGUGUCCAGAUGGAAUCUCAUGUGAUGAUCUGGUGCCUGGCAGAGGAUCAAUGGCCAAGGCUCUAAUGGGGCACAUCAAAGUUUCUCUGCAGUUCAGAAAGACAACCAGGGCCUGACUCUGUGGUUGCUGUACCGGUGUGGAGCAUCUGCCAAGAAUGGACACCAGCAUCUGUAGACAAAGGAGAGGCUGCCACACUUUUGUACUGCAUGCUGAACCAUUAAAACAAUAGCCAAUCCACUACUGAGGAGUGUGCACAGUGACACAGGAUUCUCCACAGACUCCAUUCACAAGAACAGGGCCUGUUUUGUAGCCACCCAAAGCAUGUGAUGAACAGGCAAAAGGACCUAAGCAGAAGCCUUCAAUCCCUGCACCCCAAGACCAAAUAAUACUCAUUCUCAUAGGCCACAUAAGCUGGUCCUUGUUCCUCUUCCUUCCCCCAUUUGUUCUAUCUCUUAUCAAGAAGAAAACAUUUUCUUCUGAUGCUCAGAAUUGAAUCUUGUUCCACAAUUCAAGAAACACGUGUGAAAAGAAGAUCUGGACCUCUCUGUCCUCACUUGUCUGUAUGGACUUUUGGGUUGAACAAUCUCUUGAAGAUCCUGUGCCAGCCUCAGGAUCGCCUGAGAGGCUGUGUUGUCUAUAUCUACUGCAGAAACACUUGAGCUAAUAGACUGUCCAGUGACAAAGCCAUUCUGCCCUUGACAAUGACGUGAUGAUUCUCCUGUCUCCAUAUGAACACACCCAGCCUGCCCCAACACUGUGCAGUUGUCACUAAGGGCACAUUAAGGAGAAGAGGACCAUGAGAGUAGGAUGCUGGGUGCAAAAAAUAAUAAUAAUAAUUGAGUCAUCUUCUAAUGCUGACAAAGAAGCUGAGGCCCCAAAGGACGUAGAUUUCAAGUGUGAGAGCUGAGUGUUACUUCUGGAUCAGUGUCAACGCCAGCACACAGGAAUCCACUGGCUUCGUAUGGUGGAUGCUUCUGACCAGAUUGGGAGAGUGGCCUGACUUCAUUCUUAUCUACAAGGAGGAAGGGUGAAAAUUGGCUCCGAGAUGUGACACCAGCUAGACUGUCUAUGUGAAGUGGUGUGAUCUGCCCUUUUGUCAGUUGCCAUUCUGUAGGCAUAGUGAUGGGCAAGGCUCUAGCUAGGUGCUAGAUCCCAGGAUCAUUAGUGUCAUGGACAAGCUGUGCCCAAGGACCUGACACUCUGGCAGAGUCCAGGACAUUCAGGAAGACAAAGAUGGUGAGAUCACAGGCCCUGGGAGUGUUACGUGUUUGACGACAUGCCAAAAGCCUAAACUGUACACUCCCCCUGUGCUGGUGAUGGGAAAGUAAGAAGACGAGGAGGCCAACCUGAUAGAUGGACAAUGUAGGAAUCCCAGAAGCAAGAGGCCAUGUUCCUGCAUGGGGAUCCACCAUUCUUUGCAUAUGCAUGUUGAGUUUCUAAGAAGAUGUUUCCAGCUAUGAUUUUGACCUUCAAAAAACAGUCGAAGGUCAUGAGGCUUUCCUGACACAAAAAGCACAGGCUGGAACCAAAAUCCUGAUGCUAUGCACCAAAUUCCUUUCCUGUUUGGGGCUACUGAGGACAAUCUGAACUAAAAGUCUGGACCUGCUUUCUCAGUGAAGGCACAACCUCUUGAACUCUCUGACUUUUGAAAUGUAGUUGUACCUACUGCUGCUUAUGAUCCAAAAAUCUAAUUCAAUAUGUGAACAUAUAAGCUUCCAACCUCCAAUCUGGAUCAUUCUGUCCCAGACAGGACAAUGUGUAUACUUGAAAAGAAAGACCAGAUCCUGGUGCUUUCCCACAAGAAGUUGUUGAAUGUGGCUACCUGGAAGGACAACCAAAAGCCUCUCUCGGCCACAGAGGAGGGCACUAUCAAUAAGUCAAUCAACCUUAUAUGCAUCAUCACAAGCAUCUGAAAUAUGGAGGCCUGGUAAACACGGUAUGGGCCUCC
Long non-coding RNA from Mastomys coucha (southern multimammate mouse), 2118 nucleotides. RefSeq lists it as uncharacterized. NCBI's taxonomy places the organism in Eukaryota, Metazoa, Chordata, Mammalia, Rodentia, Muridae. The record is from RefSeq and is a predicted model, not a curated record. The transcript is spliced from 5 exons.